CUAACGAGGAACGAUCGGAGGGCAAGUCUGGUGCCAGCAGCCGCGGUAAUUCCAGCUCCAAUAGCGUACGUUAAAGUUGCUGCAGUUAAAAAGCUCGUAGUUGAACGUUCGGGUUCCGCGGGACGGGGCCGCCCCGCGAGGGACGGCGCCGCCCCGGGGCUCGUGAUAUCUUAUCUCGCCGCCCGUCGCGAGGCGGACGGAGGGAUGGAUGAGGUUACCUGGAAAAAAUCGGGGCGAUCUAGGCGGGCGAACCUCGCCAACGAACGAUCGGACAUGGGAUAACGGAAGAGGGGCGUCGGCUCGACUUCGUCGGUUCCUCGGGCCGAGGCACGUACGGUGAAUAGGGACGGUCGGGGCCGCCCGUACCGGGUCGUGAGAGGUGAAAUUCUAGGAUCGACCCGAGACGAACUGCCGCGAAAGCAUUCGGCAAGGACGCUUCAUUAAUCAAGAACGAAAGUCGGGGGAUCGAAGACGAUCAGAUACCGUCGUAGUCCCGACCGUAAACGA
Molecule: ribosomal RNA, 507 nt
Filed under: uncultured eukaryote
Lineage: Eukaryota
Description: bacterial SSU rRNA
Rfam family: Eukaryotic small subunit ribosomal RNA
Source: RNAcentral